GUGAGGGUGGCAGAAUUUAUGUGUUCGUUUUAAGCUCGAAAGAUGAGCCUAGGCUCCCCUUACU
This 64-nucleotide transfer RNA is filed under the name Argopecten purpuratus. Its description in RNAcentral is "tRNA-Leu". Lineage: Eukaryota; Metazoa; Mollusca; Bivalvia; Pectinida; Pectinidae. The record is from RNAcentral.